RNAcentral lists this ribosomal RNA (371 nucleotides) under uncultured organism. RNAcentral's name for it is "bacterial SSU rRNA". It matches the Rfam family "Bacterial small subunit ribosomal RNA", at positions 526 to 896 of the family's 1533-position model. The record is from RNAcentral.
CAGAGGGUGCGAGCGUUAAUCGGAAUUACUGGGCGUAAAGCGCGCGUAGGCGGCUUUUCAAGUCGGAUGUGAAAUCCCCGGGCUCAACCUGGGAACUGCAUUCGAGACUGUCUAGCUAGAGUAUGGGAGAGGGAAGUGGAAUUUCAGGUGUAGCGGUGAAAUGCGUAGAUAUCUGAAGGAACAUCAGUGGCGAAAGCGACUUCCUGGACCAAUACUGACGCUCAUGUGCGAAAGCGUGGGGAGCAAACAGGAUUAGAUACCCUGGUAGUCCACGCCAUAAACGAUGAGAACUGGAUGUCGGAGGGGUCUGCCCUUCGGUGUCGUAGCUAACGCGUCAAGUUCUCCGCCUGGGGAGUACGGCCGCAAGGUUG